RNAcentral lists this ribosomal RNA (1497 nucleotides) under Plasmodium inui. RNAcentral's name for it is "SSU rRNA". It matches the Rfam family "Eukaryotic small subunit ribosomal RNA", at positions 162 to 1439 of the family's 1831-position model. The record is from RNAcentral. Lineage: Eukaryota; Apicomplexa; Aconoidasida; Haemosporida; Plasmodiidae.
AGCUAAUACUUGCUUUAGCACUCUUGAUUAAGUUCUUGAGUGUGUACUUGUUAAGCCUUUUAAGAAAAAAGUUAUUAACUUAAGGAAUUAUAACAAAGAAGCAACACGUAAAUGGAUUUUCCAUUUUUUAGUGUGUAUCAAUCGAGUUUCUGACCUAUCAGCUUUUGAUGUUAGGGUAUUGGCCUAACAUGGCUAUGACGGGUAACGGGGAAUUAGAGUUCGAUUCCGGAGAGGGAGCCUGAGAAAUAGCUACCACAUCUAAGGAAGGCAGCAGGCGCGUAAAUUACCCAAUUCUAAAGAAGAGAGGUAGUGACAAGAAAUAACAAUACAAGGCCAAUCUGGCUUUGUAAUUGGAAUGAUGGGAAUUUAAAACCUUCCCAAAACUCAAUUGGAGGGCAAGUCUGGUGCCAGCAGCCGCGGUAAUUCCAGCUCCAAUAGCGUAUAUUAAAAUUGUUGCAGUUAAAACGCUCGUAGUUGAAUUUCAAAGAAUCGAUAUUUUAAGUAGCACUUUGUAGAUUAAUCCACAUAACUGAUACUACGUAUCGACUUUGUGCGCAUUUUUCUACUUAUGUGUUCUUUUAAUUAAAAUGAUUCUUUUUAAGAUCUUUCUUUUUUGCUUCGGCAUUUUAGGAGAUCUUGUUACUUUGAGUAAAUUAGAGUGUUCAAAGCAAACAGAUUAUAGCAUCUUUAUGCGUUUGAAUACUACAGCAUGGAAUAACAAAAUUGAACAAGUCAGAAUUUUGUUCUUUUUUCUUAUUUUGGCUUAGUUACGAUUAAUAGGAGUAGCUUGGGGGCAUUUGUAUUCAGAUGUCAGAGGUGAAAUUCUUAGAUUUUCUGGAGACAAACAACUGCGAAAGCAUUUGCCUAAAAUACUUCCAUUAAUCAAGAACGAAAGUUAAGGGAGUGAAGACGAUCAGAUACCGUCGUAAUCUUAACCAUAAACUAUGCCGACUAGGCUUUGGAUGAAAGAUUUUAAAAUAAGAGUUUUUUCUCUGAGGAGUUAAAACUCUUAGAUUGCUUCCUUCAGUGCCUUAUGAGAAAUCAAAGUCUUUGGGUUCUGGGGCGAGUAUUCGCGCAAGCGAGAAAGUUAAAAGAAUUGACGGAAGGGCACCACCAGGCGUGGAGCUUGCGGCUUAAUUUGACUCAACACGGGAAAACUCACUAGUUUAAGACAAGAGUAGGAUUGACAGAUUAAUAGCUCUUUCUUGAUUUCUUGGAUGGUGAUGCAUGGCCGUUUUUAGUUCGUGAAUAUGAUUUGUCUGGUUAAUUCCGAUAACGAACGAGAUCUUAACCUGCUAAUUAGCGGCAAAUACGAUAUAUUCUUAUGUGGAAUUGAAUAUAGUUGAUUUGCUUAUUUUGAAGAAAAUAUUGGGAUACGUAAAUGUAUCCCUUUCCCUUUUCUACUUAAUUUGCUUAUCAUACUAUUUCUUUUUUGCGUAAGAAUGUAUUUGCUUGAUUGUAAAGCUUCUUAGAGGAACGAUGUGUGUCUAACACAAG